RNAcentral lists this long non-coding RNA (361 nucleotides) under Androctonus crassicauda. Lineage: Eukaryota; Metazoa; Arthropoda; Arachnida; Scorpiones; Buthidae. The record is from RNAcentral.
CGGGGCUGCGACGGCUCGCUUGGGAUGGUGGUUCCAAGCUGUAGUUGAGCAUUCGCCUGGAGCUUUGGCCCGCAAUGUCUCGAGAACGGUUGACCGUCUGCCGGCGGAACGGGGUAUCGCUGUAUUCGGGAGGACAUGCUCUGCAACCCUGUUGAGUUUCGUCAAAAUCGGUGGAUUCCACUUGGGGGGACCUCUCCUUGUAAGAUCCCUUUGCUCAGACAUGUUAACUGUAUGACUACUCUCGCAUCGAAAAAAUCUGCUCUUAUUUCAUCUUUGUCGAUCGACCAUUCCAUUGCGAUUAAAGUGAUUAUUAAAUGUAAUUACAGUAUUGGCAAUAAAACAGUAUUUUCAUUCUGAUUUC